AUUGAACGCUGGCGGCAUGCCUUACACAUGCAAGUCGAACGGCAGCACGGGAGCAAUCCUGGUGGCGAGUGGCGAACGGGUGAGUAAAGUAUCGGAACGUGCCCAGUCGUGGGGGAUAACGUAGCGAAAGUUACGCUAAUACCGCAUACGAUCUAUGGAUGAAAGCGGGGGAUCGCAAGACCUCGCGCGAUUGGAGCGGCCGAUAUCAGAUUAGGUAGUUGGUGGGGUAAAGGCUCACCAAGCCGACGAUCUGUAGGUGGUCUGAGAGGACGACCAGCCACACUGGGACUGAGACACGGCCCAGACUCCUACGGGAGGCAGCAGUGGGGAAUUUUGGAUAAUGGGCGAAAGCCUGAUCCAGCCAUGCCGCGUGCAGGAUGAAGGCCUUCGGGUUGUAAACUGCUUUUGUACGGAACGAAAAGGUUUGGCCUAAUAAGCUGAGCUCAUGACGGUACCGUAAGAAUAAGCACCGGCUAACUACGUGCCAGCAGCCGCAGUAA
RNAcentral lists this ribosomal RNA (500 nucleotides) under uncultured bacterium. RNAcentral describes it as "partial 16S ribosomal RNA". It matches the Rfam family "Bacterial small subunit ribosomal RNA", at positions 30 to 523 of the family's 1533-position model. The record is from RNAcentral.